Molecule: long non-coding RNA, 7139 nt
Organism: Trifolium pratense (red clover)
Lineage: Eukaryota; Viridiplantae; Streptophyta; Magnoliopsida; Fabales; Fabaceae
Exons: 3
Source: RefSeq, a predicted model, not a curated record
AAAGGUGAACCCUAAAAAAAGUAAAGUUCGAGUUCUGUUCUCUCUCUCGUGUGCGUACUAUUGUGUUUUUUAUUUUCCUCUUUCAUGUUAGAUCUGUAAAUUCUUCUUCUUCUUCUUCUCGUUUUUAUUAAAACACAAAUUAGAUGAACAACUAAAGGUUAUGUCCUCUCUCUCUCUCUCUCUCUGAUCUGAGAAAAUAAAAAGCUUAUAUUUUAAAGCUUGAGAUUUUUGUUAUUCAUUUUGUUCUUAUUAUUAUACAACAGAAUGGUCAGAUUGAAAAACAUUUUUUUUUCUUCUCGUUUUUAUAGAACACAAAUUUAGAUGAACUACUAAAGGUUGUGUCUGUUUUUUUUUCCUCUCUCACUUUUAGAUCUGAGAAAAUAAACGCUUAGAUAUUUUAGAUUUUUAUUAUUCGUUUUGUUCUUAUUAUUAUUAUACAACAGAAUGGUUAGAUUGAAAGCUAAGGUUGUUUUCAGUCAGAGAGAAGAGGCCCUAAGGGUUUACUUUCAAUCUCUACAAACAAAAGAUAACAUAGGGAUGCCAUCAACCUUUUUUUUGUAAUUUCUCCAUCAACCUAAACCUAAGAUGCCUCCGGAUUUGUUUUUAUCUAACUUUUGAUGUGGAUCUGUUUUCAUAUUAAUGUUCAAUUUAUGUUGUUAUUUUGUAUGAUGUACAUGUUUGAUUCUCAUUCUCUUGUUCAACAACUAGGUUUUAUGAUUAUAUGAUGAGCUGUUAUAGCCAUUUUUUUAUAAUUAAUUUUGGUGAACUAUUUGGUUUAUUUUCUUUCAAAUAUUGAUUUCAUUUGUGUACCAUAGAAAAGAUAUGUUACAAUUUUUUAUAAAGGAAUGAUAGACAGCUUUUGUGUAAAUUGCAUUUAUCUUUGAUAUAUGAGAAGGGCCUCUCACCAAAUUCAUUCGUAGUAUCUAUGUUAUCAAUGGCGGCGGCUGCUAUAGCUCCGCGUCAAAUUUGAGCCAGCCACUACAGGGCAUGGUGGAGCGGUGAAUUUUGGUGCUGCACGCUAUUCCAGGUUUCGGGCGCAAUUUUGGUCGCGGGUCGACGGCGCUUUUAAUGAUGGAGGGUAAUUUUGGAGUUUUUCUAAACCCUAAUCUCCAUAUUUGGUUUCACGCCCUCUCUUUCUCUCUAUUCCAACCACUCUCUCUCUCUUGUUUUUUCCCACUUAUUUUUUUUACUCUGUAUCUCUGUUUAUGUUGCUCUGUUUCUUCUAGCUCUGUUUCUUUAUUGACUUUCUUCUAGCUGUUGUUCAUAUAGGCAAGAAUAUAGAAACAUUUUUGCUCCUUUCUCAUCAUCUCACUUUCUUUUUUAUUAUUUUAUUUAUUUUUCACUAGCUCUGAUCUCUGUUUCUUUAUUCUAUUUGCUAAAUCAACAUAGUUUUUUUUAUUCUGUUUAUAUUUAUUCUAUUGCUAAAUAUUAUUUUUAAAAUUAUUAUGUGUUGAUAUAAUCUGUUGCUAAAUAACGUCGUUCUUAAAGAUUAUUUUGUUGCUAUUAAAAUAUUUAUUUAUUUUUUAUCGUCCACGUCCCUAAAGUAGCGCCCGCGACGCUCCCCACUACCGCACCGCGUCAAUUUUGGGGUUGUCCGCGCAGUGCCGCUUUUCCGCAUUAACAACAUAGCGCAGUAAUGAAUGUAAUGAUUUGAAAGUUACCCUAUCUAUGGUUAGCUUGGAAAUUAGUGUUUGCGAUCUUUCUCACGGUGAUGGGUAGAUUAACAAUAACAAGCAGUUCAAAACCAGGAAGCAAAUGCUUAGAAUUUAGGCAUGAAAAAGGCAAAUUGAACAUUUCAAAAGUUUCAUUUAAAUUUUAGGCGAUUGUUUACUUGUCAUUUCCCUUUUCUGAAUCCUUUCUAAACGAACUCUAAUAUCUGCUUAUUAGGCAAUUAGGCAAUAACACGGUGAGUUGGAUCAAUUUGAAAGGCUUGUGAAUAAAUAUAUGGUAACAUUUGUUCAACAAGUGGACUGGCUCAAUCACCUCACUACUUUGAAAAUCGAGGAAUGUGAAAGGUUGUAAAACAGAAGUUCUCUUCUUUUUUUACCUGGUCGUGGCCUUCUGUAGGUUAGCAUCAAGUUCUUUUUCAGGAUUGUCAUCUUCCUUUUGGUGAGGGAUUGCAUGCAUGGAUUUUUCACUUUAACUGGGUAGCAGAAGCUUAUGCUCUGGGCAUCAAAAGAAUGACGGGAAAUUCCCUAAUUCUACAUCUAAAAGGUUAGUAGGAAUUUUGUAUUUGUUUGCGUUAUUGUUUUCGAGAUAUAUUCAGAUUAGCAUACUUAUGGUAUUCUGAAUUAUCCUUGUUUGUUAGUUGCUCCUGAAUCAUCCAGAUUAGCAUACUUUCAGUAUUCUGAAAGCCAACCCAACCCGAUUUGAAAAUCCCAAUUCAUUUUAAUAACAAAUCGGCCCAACAUGUUUUUGGAAAUGACCCUGCAACAGGAACUUGUUCCUGACCACAGUGAUGCACAAAGAAUGACCCCUUGACAGAGUCUAAGCACGGGUGGCUGGCCGGAGCACGUAAAGUCGUGCGACCCUACGACCCAACACUCGACCCUGACUGUAACCUAUAAAUUAUAACAAUAUAAUUCUGUUUUUAUAACUUCAUCAAAUCAUGUACAUCUUUUAAAAAAGAUUAUAAUAUAAUUUUUGAAGUGUGAUCCCAAACCUUAAUUCUAUUUAAUCCUGCCGCCAGUUUUUUCAAAUCAUGUACGCCAGUAGUUUAGCUAUUCAGGGUAAAUUCAUUUUUUUUUUUGAGAUCCAUUGAAUGAGGUAUUGAAUAUGCUAGCAUGCUACAUCUAUGCAAAACUAUACAAAUAUACUAAACAGCAAAUAUUGUUUAAUAUCAAUAUUGGAAUUUGCUAGAAUGCAACAUCUAUUUAAACCUAUACAGAUAUCAUAAACAGAAAAUAUUGUUCUUUAUAGGUCAAUUACCCAUUCUAGUUUGCCUCGAUUCUCCUUGCAGCAGUAUAAGCCUUUUACUUUGCAAUCCUUGUUUAGCACCUUUCCUUCCCUUUGUGUUAAAACCUCCAUUUGUGUGCUUAUGCCAAUUCCAUUUCCAUCUUUAUUAUAAAUUCCAAAUUGUGCCACACUGUUAUCAAUGUUGCAAAAUUGUCCCAUUUUAAAGCGGAAACCAAUUUUGUUGUCAUUGACCCAUCCUCCAUUCACCAACAUUUCCCUACGAUUACUAUAACAAGAAAAUUAAUAAUGGAUUAUAAUUUUAAUAUGUCAUCUUUAUUAUUUUAUAUUUUUUUUUACUUACACUUGAAUAGAAAAGUUAAGCCAUCCUAAAUCAAUCACGAGAGCUCCACCAAUAGUUAUUGGAUUUCCAAUACAUAGAUCUGCUGUGAGUUUCAUCAAUUUCCCAGCCCUUAACCCUCCAGAAACAGUCAAUGUAUUUCCUUUACCAUGCUCAUACUUGGCUUUUAGUAAGCCGUCCAUGGGUAUUUGGAAGGGUAUCUUUGGAAUGUUUAUUUGAUUUGGAACGUCCAUCGGUAUUUGGAAGCUCAUCUUUGGAGUGUUUAUUUGAAUUGGAAUGUCUUUCCAAGCAUAUUCCAUUCCAAUUGACUGAAAUUUACAUAUUCAGAUUGAUAAAAUAAUUCAGAACACAUGUUUUUAAUAGGUUUUCAUGAAUCUAACUAAAAAAUUGUAUGGUUAAAAUAGUUAUGACAAUUUGUGAGGCUUUUGUGUGUUCUAAUUAAGUAAUGAGGGAAUUAAUAUCAUUAAGUAUUGUGUGUAAAAUUCUGAUCAGAAUGAUAUUAAUGAUAUUAAUGUUUGUAUGUCUCUAACUUCGGAGAAGAAGAGAGGAAGGUAUUCAAGGAAAUGCAUGUAUUUAAUAGGUUUGUAUGUAUCUAACUCUCAACUUGUGAUGGCUAAAAUUAGGACUGUUCUAAAAUAACCAUAUACUGAACUGAACCGCGAACCGAACUGAACCAAAUGAAGAGUUCGCAAACUGAACCUAUAUUUAAAAGCACAGUUCACUAACCAUAGCUGAACCGCAAAUAACUGAACCAAACCAUUAUGAACUGAACUGCAUGUGCUAGUAACUUAUUUCAAUUUUUUAUUUUUUUUUUCAAAAUUAAAUCACGUUUCAGUUCUUCAGUUCAUCUAAAUACUGUGAUUCACAAACUGAAGAACUGAAAAAGCCCCAAAACAAUUACGAUCAAUUUUGAGUAUAACAAACUAAUUUGCAGUUCAGUUUGUAAAGUAGUUGUGUAUUUGUAAAUCACAGUGAAUUGUUUGUAAGUCACAAAUAAAUUUUUUGAGCACACAACACAGCACUCUCCUGCUUCUGUUCAUAAGUUUUGAAAUGUUCAGAAUAACAAACACUAUAGUGUUUACACCAUGCCUGUUUCCAAAACAUGCAAUUAUGCUUGUGGUGGAGGGAGGGGGUAAUUUCGUCUGGCAGUUAAAAUUGGGAAAGAAUGAAGAAAAUAUGGAGAAUGUUUUGUCCGUCUCUGAAAUAAAUCGCUGCAUAAAAGUUUUCCAAAUAACAGAGGAUUAAACUUUUCCAAACAGAGUUUUAAAAUUUUCCAAUUUUGGUUCGGUUCAGUUCAAAAAUAGUUAACCAGUCCACUGAACUGUUAUAACAGUACAGUUUUUCGAACUAUCAUAACAGUUCAGUUUUCUCUCCGAACAGAACAAUGAACAGUCACAAGUGAAUUAAUAUUAUAUAUACUGUGUGAAUAAUUGUGAUCAUUUUACAAACGUAUUUAUUGACGAAAAUGAGAGUGCAAUAUAAAUAAGUUAGUUAGGUAAUACUUACAAGUGAUUUUUUUCUAAUGAUGUUCGUUCCAAACUCAAUGUUCAAAUUGGGAUUGAAUUUGUUCACUUUUAAAUUCAAUCCAACCAUGUGUUUUUCUUUUGAACCAUGAAAAAAUUCCUGCAUUUGAUGCGGAUGUCAGCUUUUUUUUCAUACGAAUGUCAACUUAGUAAUAUCAACUAAAUGUGUACAAGAUUUCAUGUUGUAUUUUAACUUUACUUACCACAUCAUGGUAGCCAUUUAUCUUUAGCAUAAAAUCCUUUUUUGUAGUUUCCUUCUUAAGCAAUCCAGCUAACCAAUCUAUAAAAAAAAAAUGCAUUUAAGCAUGUUACAGAUUCAAGCUUGUGUAAACAUGAAUAGUAAACAUGAACAGUUUCACCAGUCCAGCUAUAUUAUCCUUACAUCUUGUACAGUUUACUUCCAUAUGAGUGUGAUAGUUUUUUAAUGCUUUCAACAUAUUUUACAGUGUGAUAAUGUAUGUACACAAUGGUGUAAUAUGUGUAUACUUUUAUGGCAAUUAUCACAAUUUAUGCAGUAAAAUUGAAUCUAAAAAGAAAAACAAUACCUUCAAUCGGUUGAGCAUUUCUCUGGAUCAUUUUUUGACCACCUGGUGAAUUUAUGAAUUCGAUUCCUUUACUCAAUAUGAUUGAUAUCCCCUUGUUCUUUAUGGCAUUCUUCAAAAACGGGAAUGAGUUCAAUAGAGAAGAACUCCGAUCACCCAAAUCUUUAUUAAAAAAGCUGAAUGUAUCCAUCAUUAGUGAAUAUUCACCAUUCAUGGCUGCCUUUUGUUUUUCUUUCUGUUUCUUGGAGUUGUGAUUUGUCUGUCAAAUGAAAUUAACCAAUUAAGCAUACAUUAAUUAUGAAAAUGCACUAUCAAUCUCACUAAAACCUAUUAUGCUUAACUUUAACUAUGAUCAGUAUGCAUCAUACAACUAGUGCAACAACAAAAUCACUUAGUUUAUUAUAACUGUUAUCACCAAUUAGGCAUUUUAUCAAAUAGAAAACUUACAUCAUACAAUUAAAUGCAACAACAACAAAAUCACUUAGCUUAUUAUAACUGUUAUCACCAAUUAGGCAUUUUAGCAAAUAGAAGACGUGCAUUAUAAUCAAGACAUAAAUUAAAUGUAGAAUAGAAAUAUUCAAGAUUGCAAACACUUCAUUAUUAAUACUUCAGUAGCUAGAAAUGAAAACUAAAAUGGAACUAAAACAAAUCAAAAUUUCAUAAAUUAUCACAAUGAGGAAUGAAAUCCAAUGUGGGAGAAUGAUGAAGAAACAGGAAACUUACAUCAUACAAUUAAAUGCAACAACAACAAAAUCACUUAGCUUAUUAUAACUGUUAUCACCAAUUAGGCAUUUUAGCAAAUAGAAGACGUGCAUUAUAAUCAAGACAUAAAUUAAAUGUAGAAUAGAAAUAUUCAAGAUUGCAAACACUUCAUUAUUAAUACUUCAGUUGCUAGAAAUGAAAACUAAAAUGGAACUAAAACAAAUCAAAAUUUCAUUAAUUAUCACAAUGAGGAAUGAAAUCCAAUGUGGGAAAAUUACCCUUAAGCUUUGGAAAGCAAGAGAUGAAGAAACAGAAUGUUGGACAGUGAUGAACGAUUUGAACUAUCACUGCGGUUCUUGGAUAGUAUUUCUAAGUCACAAUUUCCAUUUGAUACUGGAAAGCAAGCUGUUAAAUUUUCUGCGUGGCUGAAGGAAAGGGACAAAGACCUUACUAAAAUGGGGACUGAUCUUGUUGAAGAUCUUCAAUUUGGGGACCCCCACUAUGCUCACAAGGCCCAUUGGACCUCAAGCCCAAUUGGUUUGGCCCAAUAACACGUUAACUCACUCUACUCGUUUAAUAACUAAAGUACUCGACAAAUGACUAAAGUUAUUAACUUAAUUAAAAUGUCACGUUAAUAAAAUAUUUUAACACACAAAAAUUAAUAAUUUGAAAAUUGGGUCGUUACAGAUCCGGCAGGUCGGACCUAUUGAUGGGUUAAAACACACAUAUAGUAAAAGAAAAGGGAAUAGAUGUAAUUUUAUUGAUAAUGUUUUAUCUUGCCGUCAUUCAACCUAAAGCUACAAAGGACUAUAAAAGGGUUUCUAAAAUUACAGCAAUGCCCUCAUGGGAAAGGAUAUUACAACCAAUACUAAAUAAAUGACACCUAAUAAAAUUACUAUUGUUUCUAGAACGGGAAAUAAAUUAAAAGAAACAAUCUAAUUAAAGGUGCUAGAAUUAAGAUAAACAUAAAUAGAUGAUUUUGCUAAUAGGCAACAUAAGUCGUAGCUCAAUUGACAAAAAAAUAUCGAAAUUGUUAGGCCGGACGUCGUGACUAGGGUUUGAACAUGGGUUCGAAAUUUUAUCGAUACGUUCAAUUUUUUAUAAAAAAUAAAAUAAAAA